CCUGAGAAACCCAAAAGAUCGAAUGGGGAGAUUCAUCGUCAGCUCAUUUUGUAUAUAUAUUAGUUAUGAUGCGGGUUACUACUUGUAGUAUUGCCUGCACGUGCUUUUAUAUUUUAUUGCAAGGUGUUGUCGGCGUGCACUUCUCCCCUAGUAGAACGUCGCGACCCGUUGGGUGUCGGUUUACGGCCCAAGUGAUAGACUUUAAUGUAAUUUAAAAAACAUUGAAGAUCCUUGGUGUUUUCUAACCGGCUACUCGGCGGUACUCGUACGGUAUUUAGCCGCUAAUUUAUUUAGCGUCCAUGUCCGUCGCAAGCGAGGCUAAUUUUUACUGAUAGUACGGACCUAGUGCCGUCGUUGGUAUUGGCCAGCUGUUGGUUGUACGGUAUUCUAGGACUGGCUAAAAAUUAAUUACCGGUCGGCGAUGCUACUGCUUUGGGUACUUUCAGG
Molecule: ribosomal RNA, 447 nt
Filed under: Aleiodes sp. BCLDQ01031
Lineage: Eukaryota; Metazoa; Arthropoda; Insecta; Hymenoptera; Braconidae
Description: LSU rRNA
Source: RNAcentral